UUUGGGGGGUUACUGCGGAGGACAUUA
Molecule: ribosomal RNA, 27 nt
Filed under: Ramaria rubella f. rubella
Lineage: Eukaryota; Fungi; Basidiomycota; Agaricomycetes; Gomphales; Gomphaceae
Description: partial 18S ribosomal RNA
Source: RNAcentral